GAUGAACGCUGGCGGCGUGCCUAAUACAUGCAAGUCGAGCGAACAGACGAGGAGCUUGCUCCUCUGACGUUAGCGGCGGACGGGUGAGUAACACGUGGAUAACCUACCUAUAAGACUGGGAUAACUUCGGGAAACCGGAGCUAAUACCGGAUAAUAUAUUGAACCGCAUGGUUCAAUAGUGAAAGACGGUUUUGCUGUCACUUAUAGAUGGAUCCGCGCCGCAUUAGCUAGUUGGUAAGGUUACGGCUUACCAAGGCAACGAUGCGUAGCCGACCUGAGAGGGUGAUCGGCCACACUGGAACUGAGACACGGUCCAGACUCCUACGGGAGGCAGCAGUAGGGAAUCUUCCGCAAUGGGCGAAAGCCUGACGGAGCAACGCCGCGUGAGUGAUGAAGGUCUUCGGAUCGUAAAACUCUGUUAUUAGGGAAGAACAAAUGUGUAAGUAACUAUGCACGUCUUGACGGUACCUAAUCAGAAAGCCACGGCUAACUACGUG
RNAcentral lists this ribosomal RNA (497 nucleotides) under uncultured bacterium. RNAcentral's name for it is "partial 16S ribosomal RNA". It matches the Rfam family "Bacterial small subunit ribosomal RNA", at positions 28 to 507 of the family's 1533-position model. The record is from RNAcentral.